Long non-coding RNA from Macaca fascicularis (crab-eating macaque), 1835 nucleotides. Lineage: Eukaryota; Metazoa; Chordata; Mammalia; Primates; Cercopithecidae. The record is from Ensembl.
CAAUAAAACUUUAUUUGGCCUGACCUGAUCAAGUUUAAUAAUGUUUAAUAGAUUUUUUAAAAACAUGAGUAGUUAUAACAAUACCUCUGUAAUAACAGUUAUAUAUGAACUCCUGGUCAAGGCCAGCAGCUUGUUCCUUUACCAAAAAAGUAAAGCCGCCCUCUGAGGACAAAAUGGCACAUGAGGAGUGGUGUACAUUUUUUUCUUAAAGAAAAAACAAAAAAUAACAAAACCCAAACACUUCCUAUUUACAUAUUCUCCAUUUAAAAAUUGGUCAGUGUGAGUAAUUGUUUUUAAAUAUAAGUUUCUAAUGUGUUGCAGGUUUCCAUGUACAAAGUAUAGUUUGCUGAUUAGCUUUAAGGUGCUGUGAUGUGAGGAUGAAUGCAGCCCAAGACCAAGACUGGGGGAAUCCUCUACCUACAGACUGGCUGGACUUCCUGUGGGUAUCUUUGGGAGUGUUGGGGGAAGAGAAGGAGCUGAACACCAGUGGCAGUGUUUCUGGGGACCAGAUAGGGGCUGUCAGUGUCCCCACCCCAUGCUUCUGCAGAGGGCCUGUGUCUACACACCAUUACCCCAUGCUGUGUGUGUGAGCACACAGGUUUGCAUUCACCAAACUCACUUUAGCCUACACUAUGAGGGGCAUUGCUACUUUGAGUCCCUUCCUUUGUCAUGAGGUCUCCAUGCUGGUGCCUGACCCCUAAGAGCCCUUGCUGUUGACAGCCCUCCUUUCAUACCUUCCUGGAUUCCUUGCCCCCAAGGUCACGUGCUCUCCAACACAUUUCUGUAGGGUCUGCUCUUUGUCAAGGCUACAUGGAUGAUCAAACUCAGGAAAGUAUCGAUGAGGGAUGGUGGGUUCCAUGUGAAACCUUCUCUCCUAACACAUUUUCUCUAUGGCAGAACCUCACUGCUGUCCUCCAAAUGAGCAGUUUGUGUAGAGAACAUUAGUCCCGAGGUAGGUCUGGAGAGGAGCUGUUGGGGGGUGGGGUGGGGGCGCAGGGUGUGGGGUGAAGGGGGAGUGCUGGCAGGGAGGUUGGAGGGAUUCUUGGAAUUGCUGCCUUCAACCUCACUGGGGUAGGACGCCCACGGGGGAACGAGGGCUGUCUUUGCGUGUGUCAGGAAAGUGCAUAGGGAGUGCUGAGGGGGUGUGCACAGGCCUGGGAGAAGGGCUGAUUUUACCCACAGACCCCAGACUGUUCUGACCUGAAAGGAAGAUUUCAGACCGUGCAGGGGUGAGGCAAAUACAGGGGUGCGACAGAUGAAAACAUUUAAGUACUUGGGGAGCCAGGAAAGUAUGCUUGGUGACUAGGAGAAACAAACUGGUUCAGUUUCCAGUUUCAGAAUACGAGAAACAUUGCUCUGAAUAAAAGAACAUCGAAUGGUAAUGGACAGGGAAGAAACAUCUCAGAUCAAGUUUCUAAGCAAAAAGCCAGAACGACCCCAACAGAGGAAGACAUUCUAUAAUGGACAGACCCUGGCCUGGGGGCCAGGAGACUGGGAUUUAAAGCUGGUCCUCACACUAAGCCUGUGAUCUUAAGAAGUAUCUCUUGGUCUCUGGGCCUAAUUGCCUUUCCUCAGCUGUCAGUUGAGGCUAGUUGGGCCAGGUGGUUUCGGAGCUACCUCUGCAAGAUUUCUCUGCAUCCUGUCACCCAGGUGGGGCCCGCAGACUGCUGUCUAAGGCUAUUUCUUCCCUGUGCACCACACGUGGUCUCCCCUUUGCUGGGAAAGUGAUCAACCCCCAAGCCAGGGUCCUGUUCAAACCCGCUCCUAGAGGUUAAAGGCUAGUUAUUAAGGCAGUUUAAGAAAUGGACAUUCCUCUCGCUCCUCGGAUCCUUCAC